Long non-coding RNA from Spea bombifrons (plains spadefoot toad), 673 nucleotides. RefSeq lists it as uncharacterized. Lineage: Eukaryota; Metazoa; Chordata; Amphibia; Anura; Pelobatidae. The transcript is spliced from 3 exons. The record is from RefSeq and is a predicted model, not a curated record.
CAUAGGGUUUAAAGGGACAUGCGGUGGCCAUGUUUUUCCUCAAUGUUAGAAAUGUCUACAAAACACACCCAGCUUCUGUAUCUACACCACAAUAAAUUCAUGGCUAUGUUUGUUUGUAGCUGGGCUAGCACCGAGAAUACAUCAAACAAAACGGUUGGCUUAUUUAAUUGUUUUAAGUGAACUGUUUUAAUGCAACCAUAAGUAUACUCUGAAACCGGCUGUUUUAUUUCACAGAAUUCCUUAAGUUUAAGGUGCUGCUCCACUUAGACAAAACAUUUAUGGCAUUUUCUAAACUGCUCAGCAAAUUCUUUUAUUUUGAAGGUUUCAUCGCACUAAAGUAACACAGAAACUUAAGGAAAUCUUUUCAGUUUGUACAUAACCUGCUUUUUGUAUCACAAGUGUUCCCAGAAAAGAAUAUGAACCGUACAAGCGGGAUUAGAAUUAUUUCUGGAAAAGUGUUUGUUGUUAAAUAAUGAGAUUAAGUACAGUAGCAUUUUUAUAAUUAGCUGUUAUACUUACCAAAUUAAUAAACGUUUAUCUGAUGAAAUUGCUCAGUGUAAAUAUCAUUUGAUAGAAGGUGGCAAGAAGAGUAAACACAAUUUACACGGCUAAAAAACUGCUGCUAAAAAAAACUAUUCCUGUGCUUCUCGUCAAUUGCUGCUGCAUACGCUCA